CCUACGGGAGUCUGCAGUGGGGAAUAUUGGACAAUGGGGGCAACCCUGAUCCAGCCAUGCCGCGUGUGUGAAGAAGGCCCUCGGGUUGUAAAGCACUUUCAGUGAGGAAGAACGCCUGGUGGUUAAUACCCAUCAGGAAAGACAUCACUCACAGAAGAAGCACCGGCUAACUCCGUGCCAGCAGCCGCGGUAAUACGGAGGGUGCGAGCGUUAAUCGGAAUUACUGGGCGUAAAGCGCGCGUAGGUGGCUUGAUAAGCCGGUUGUGAAAGCCCCGGGCUCAACCUGGGAACGGCAUCCGGAACUGUCAAGCUAGAGUGCAGGAGAGGAAGGUAGAAUUCCCGGUGUAGCGGUGAAAUGCGUAGAGAUCGGGAGGAAUACCAGUGGCGAAGGCGGCCUUCUGGACUGACACUGACACUGAGGUGCGAAAGCGUGGGUAGCAAACAGGAUUAGAUACCCGAGUAGUC
This 465-nucleotide ribosomal RNA is filed under the name Vreelandella stevensii. RNAcentral's name for it is "partial 16S ribosomal RNA". It matches the Rfam family "Bacterial small subunit ribosomal RNA", at positions 338 to 795 of the family's 1533-position model. Lineage: Bacteria; Pseudomonadati; Pseudomonadota; Gammaproteobacteria; Oceanospirillales; Halomonadaceae. The record is from RNAcentral.